This is a long non-coding RNA of Felis catus (domestic cat), 2356 nucleotides long. RefSeq lists it as uncharacterized. The record is from RefSeq and is a predicted model, not a curated record. The transcript is spliced from 3 exons. NCBI's taxonomy places the organism in Eukaryota, Metazoa, Chordata, Mammalia, Carnivora, Felidae.
GACCUGCUAAGAAGCUUGAGCUUCAAGGCCCUCCUGAACUGACCCUUCCCAAAGCCCCAUUAUUUCAGAUUUAUAAUUGUAUGUACUUUUCCUUACAAGGCGGCCCUCAAAGUGUAUAAUCUCCAAGCUCCAUGAAACCAGGAUCUGCCUUGGGAUGCAGGUAUCAAGGAAACUGCCAGUCCUGACACUUGUUUGCUGUGUGACGCUGCUUCACUGACUUAACCUCUCUGAACAACCACUUCCUCGUUCUGCUGUCAUAUCUUCCCAUUGUGAGGCUCAUCUUAGACAAUCUGUGAGCCAGCCAGAAUUCUAACAUGCUUUCUGAAUGCCCCGUGGGGAAGUCCAAACCCAGUGGCACCAGGUGACAGGAGAGAAUGAGGAGCUUGGGACAAGGGCUGCUGGAGAAAGUGACAUGUGAGCUAAACCCGGCAAGUCGCGUCUAAUGUGGUCACCAGGUGCUGAAGGGACGAUCAGUAGCAGAGAGAAGAGCAUGCUAAGACCUGGAGGGGGGGUGUGUGUGUAUAGGUGUUUGUGUAGGAGGGUGCAGGUUGUGGGUCGGAAGGACUUGCUGGUUGUCUGUCUACCUAGAGCCUCAGGCUCUCUGUGCUCUCACCCUUCCCCACCCCAGAGGGGGCAUACAGGAGCCGCUCAAUCCAUAUUUCCGUGGUUCUGGUGAUGAUUGAUGUGUGCCUGGAUAAGAAGGCAGGGAGAGUGUUUCAGGAUGGAAACACAGCCCGGGCAAAGAUGCAGAACCGUGGUGGAGUUUAGAGAACAGAAGCUUCUCUGUGGUUGGAAUAUGGGUUUGUGGGGGCAGGAUGGAGAGCUGAUGACCCCACUUGCAAGGUGUAAAACAGCAUGGCCUGGGCUGUUCGCCCACGAGAUACUCCUGGAGCCAGUGAGGUCUGUGUGAGAGAGACCCUCGGUGCCCUCUGCAGGGACAGCAGAGGGCUUUGGACAGAAUCAGGUUGCAGGAUUGCUGGGGCCGGGCUGGUGGGAAGGUACAGUAAGACAGGACAGACUGGCCUCCCCUACAGCCCUAUUCAGGUUAUGGCUUCUCCACUCCCACUCAGCCAACCCGCCACCUGCUUAGGGCAAGGUGAGGAGCAGUCUGGAGGCACAGGGAUAGACAAAAGGUUUCAGAUACUCAGGACAAUACCAGAAUUCAGUCUCAACCGGCAGGUGGCCUCUCCUGUGGCCUGGGGCUAUGGAGGAGUCACCGAGGGAGCAGACCUGGGACUCCUGCAGAGGGAAGACAUUCUGUAUGUGUAUAAUCUACAUCCCAACUUACCCUCUCCACAGCUCUCCAGACCAAGCUGUGAUUUGGCCUCAGGGCAGUGAAGUCACUCACCCAGGGUCAUACAGCUUGUGAGUAACUAAGAGAGAACCCGGAUUCAUAUUCGAGGCCGUCUGUGCUCUCUGUGAUGUGGUGUUUGGAGUGGUGGGGAUCUGGAGCCGACGGCCAAGAAAGAAUUGUUGAGACGUCUUUGGUGCAAAAAGGCGGUUUUAUUAAAGCCCGGGGAUAGGUCCCGCGGGCAGCAGGUUGUAAGCAAAUUCAAUUUCACGUGCCAUUUCCUUCCUGCCUUUGUUCCGCACAUCACUACGGAGGGGAGGGUGGUGUUGGGGCUAUAGGCUUCUGGAGAUUAAGCUAUUGAUAAGAUUGCCUUUCUCUUGUCAUUUACUAAGCUAUUUGUAAACUGAUGGAGACUCGGGUCCUGUGAUCGCUAUCAGUUCAACCAUUUGUUUUCUGUCUUUUCCUUUGUUCUGGGGCAGCCAGGACUACCUGAGGAAUAUCACCCCUGUCCCACCUGGGGUGGGGUGCUUUGCCCUCAGCCCGCCUUAUGCUCCCUCAUCAUAUCCCCCCUGCAUAAUUUUGACCCUUAAGUCUUUACAGUUGCUGAAGGUGGAAGGUCUCAUCUUCUGUAGCUUCUUCCUGCUGAGUAGGGGUGUAGAGUUGUCCCUACCCGUGGGUCAAUAUUGGUCAGUCGGGGAAGGUGUAGAGAAGUUACGAGGGCGGAGGCAGCUGAAUCCAAUGUGGACAACAUGCCUGAACCUCCUGGAGGAGAAAGGAUCAUCUGUUAAUAUAAAUUGAGGAAAGGAGAAUGACAAAGAAAGGUACAACCAUCAAUUUUGUUUGAGGAGAAGUUUGGGAUCUUCCAUAGCUAUAAACUUUAUUCCUAUAAACGAAUAAGAAGGCACAUUUGUUUGCUCACUGGUUUCCUGUGAAGGAGUAAUAAAGAAGGCUUUAUUCUAGAUAUACAAGCCCAUGAAGAGAGCCCCUGUACUACGGCAGUGGGAGUACAUAAUAUGACCCGGUAGGGGCCCUUCCACUCUGGGGUUAAAUCCCCUUCUGUGUUAG